GAUGAACGCUGGCGGCGUGCCUAAUACAUGCAAGUCGAGCGAACGGACGAGAAGCUUGCUUCUCUGAUGUUAGCGGCGGACGGGUGAGUAACACGUGGAUAACCUACCUAUAAGACUGGGAUAACUUCGGGAAACCGUAGCUAAUACCGGAUAAUAUUUUGAACCGCAUGGUUCAAAAGUGAAAGACGGUCUUGCUGUCACUUAUAGAUGGAUCCGCGCUGCAUUAGCUAGUUGGUAGGGUAACGGCUUACCAAGGCAACGAUGCAUAGCCGACCUGAGAGGGUGAUCGGCCACACUGGAACUGAGACACGGUCCAGACUCCUACGGGAGGCAGCAGUAGGGAAUCUUCCGCAAUGGGCGAAAGCCUGACGGAGCAACGCCGCGUGAGUGAUGAAGGUCUUCGGAUCGUAAAACUCUGUUAUUAGGGAAGAACAUAUGUGUAAGUAACUGUGCACAUCUUGACGGUACCCAAUCAGAAAGCCACGGCUAACUACGUG
Molecule: ribosomal RNA, 497 nt
Filed under: uncultured bacterium
Lineage: Bacteria
Description: partial 16S ribosomal RNA
Rfam family: Bacterial small subunit ribosomal RNA
Source: RNAcentral